CGGAGCAAAACAGGGCAGCCGGCUAUUUUAGUCAGGAAAGUCCUCUCACACUAUAAAAGCUCCUUAAAGGAGAGUACAGGGAUGCACUUGGGAUGGCACAGAAACGAUACCCUUUCGGUUAUAAGAUGACUGUAAUAUGAUGUUCCCGAAAGAAGGAUGAAACGAGCAUCCUGCUUUGGUGUGCAAGCCAGAAUGGUGCUUAGAUGAAUCUGCUCAAUCUCCAGAUGACGCGAAAACGCUGAUGAGAUACAAAAAGAGGCUUAUCUUUUGCACCG
Molecule: RNase P RNA, 275 nt
Filed under: Candidatus Nanohalarchaeota archaeon
Lineage: Archaea; Nanobdellati; Candidatus Nanohalarchaeota
Description: Candidatus Nanohaloarchaeota archaeon RNase P RNA component
Rfam family: Archaeal RNase P
About the family: Ribonuclease P (RNase P) is a ubiquitous endoribonuclease, found in archaea, bacteria and eukarya as well as chloroplasts and mitochondria. Its best characterised activity is the generation of mature 5'-ends of tRNAs by cleaving the 5'-leader elements of precursor-tRNAs. Cellular RNase Ps are ribonucleoproteins.
Source: RNAcentral